Molecule: unclassified non-coding RNA, 210 nt
Filed under: Hevea brasiliensis (rubber tree)
Lineage: Eukaryota; Viridiplantae; Streptophyta; Magnoliopsida; Malpighiales; Euphorbiaceae
Source: RNAcentral
GAGAACUGCUUCUUGAACCCGACAAGAAGGCAAUUCUGAAGGCACGAGUUGGACGAAAUAUGGAUGGAAUGGAUCUGAAUCUGUAUCGUCAAUCUCUGCAACUCUUGAGAGAUUUCCAAGCUGGUCGUUGAAUAGUUAGACGCCUUAGUAUAAGAUUUAUCAAUGAAAAUUAACCAAAAGUAAUAGCUAGAUCUCAUGUUGUAAAGGGCG